AUGAAAGGUGAAUCCAUUGUAGUUGAAAGUUGGAAGCUCUGUCAUGGAAAUCUGAGCUGCAGAUAUGAUGUUGCUUUUAUUUACAAUGGAGGAUUGACAAAUGUUAGAAGGAAUCAGGGACAUGCGAUAAAGGUUGGUGGUUAUAUAGAAGAGGAGUUUAAGGUAUAUAAGCGGAAGAUUGAAGGGAGUUGCGAGUUGAGGUUAAAGGUUAAAGGGAAGAGAAACAGAUGGAAGUGA
This is a non-coding RNA of Vicia faba (fava bean), 237 nucleotides long. Lineage: Eukaryota; Viridiplantae; Streptophyta; Magnoliopsida; Fabales; Fabaceae. The record is from the annotation of a GenBank genome assembly.